CCUACGGGAGGCAGCAGUGGGGAAUUUUGGACAAUGGGGGCAACCCCGAUCCAGCCAUUCCGCGUGAGUGAAGAAGGCCUUCGGGUUGUAAAGCUCUUUUGUCGGGGACGAAACGGUUAAGGCUAAUAACUUUGACUACUGACGGUACCCGAAGAAUAAGCACCGGCUAACUACGUGCCAGCAGCCGCGGUAAUACGUAGGGUGCGAGCGUUAAUCGGAAUUACUGGGCGUAAAGCGUGCGCAGGCGGUUAUGUAAGCCAGAUGUGAAAUCCCCGGGCUCAACCUGGGAAUGGCAUUUGGGACUGCAUAGCUAGAGUAUGGCAGAGGAGACUAGAAUUCCUGGUGUAGCAGUGAAAUGCGUAGAUAUCAGGAGGAAUACCGAUGGCGAAGGCAGGUCUCUGGGUCAAUACUGACGCUCAUGCACGAAAGCGUGGGGAGCAAACAGGAUUAGAUACCCUGGUAGUCCACGCCCUAAACGAUGUCAACUGGUUGUUGGGAGAUUUAUUCUCUUAGUAACGAAGCUAACGCGUGAAGUUGACCGCCUGGGGAGGUACGGUCGCGAGAUAACUACAAUAGAGUAGAGCGNGAGAGUGCGACGACGACGACGAGGAGGAGG
Molecule: ribosomal RNA, 616 nt
Filed under: uncultured bacterium
Lineage: Bacteria
Description: bacterial SSU rRNA
Rfam family: Bacterial small subunit ribosomal RNA
Source: RNAcentral